Molecule: transfer RNA, 77 nt
Filed under: Burkholderiaceae bacterium
Lineage: Bacteria; Pseudomonadati; Pseudomonadota; Betaproteobacteria; Burkholderiales; Burkholderiaceae
Description: tRNA-Pro
Rfam family: tRNA
About the family: Transfer RNA (tRNA) molecules are approximately 80 nucleotides in length. Their secondary structure includes four short double-helical elements and three loops (D, anti-codon, and T loops). Further hydrogen bonds mediate the characteristic L-shaped molecular structure. tRNAs have two regions of fundamental functional importance: the anti-codon, which is responsible for specific mRNA codon recognition, and the 3' end, to which the tRNAs corresponding amino acid is attached (by aminoacyl-tRNA synthetases). tRNAs cope with the degeneracy of the genetic code in two manners: having more than one tRNA (with a specific anti-codon) for a particular amino acid; and 'wobble' base-pairing, i.e. permitting non-standard base-pairing at the 3rd anti-codon position.
Source: RNAcentral
CGGGGUGUGGCGCAGCCUGGUAGCGCACUUGUUUUGGGAACAAGGGGUCGAAGGUUCGAAUCCUUUCACGCCGACCA